RNAcentral lists this ribosomal RNA (253 nucleotides) under uncultured bacterium. RNAcentral's name for it is "partial 16S ribosomal RNA". It matches the Rfam family "Bacterial small subunit ribosomal RNA", at positions 524 to 776 of the family's 1533-position model. The record is from RNAcentral.
UACAGGGGGGGCAAGCGUUGUUCGGAAUUACUGGGCGUAAAGGGCUCGUAGGUGGCCAACUAAGUCAGACGUGAAAUCCCUCAGCUUAACUGGGGAACUGCGUCUGAUACUGGAUGGCUUGAGUGCAGGAGAGGAACGCGGAAUUCCAGGUGUAGCGGUGGAAUGCGUAGAUAUCUGGAGGAACACCGGUGGCGAAGGCAGCCCCCUGGGCUAACACUGACGCUCAUGCACGAAAGCGUGGGGAGCAAACAGG